This is a non-coding RNA of Mycobacterium sp. VKM Ac-1817D, 68 nucleotides long. The record is from Rfam. NCBI's taxonomy places the organism in Bacteria, Bacillati, Actinomycetota, Actinomycetes, Mycobacteriales, Mycobacteriaceae.
AGGGCAACGGGAUCCACUCCGCGGGUGACGACGAGGUAGUCGCGCAGCGCAAUGCUGUGACGCCCCUC